RNAcentral lists this long non-coding RNA (4571 nucleotides) under Homo sapiens (human). RNAcentral describes it as "non-protein coding lnc-NRG1-2:14". The record is from RNAcentral. Lineage: Eukaryota; Metazoa; Chordata; Mammalia; Primates; Hominidae.
CUCUCUCACUGGCAGCAACCCAGCGCUUCCAUUGCUGACCUCUACCGACCUCUACCUGUGGUCCUUCCUCUACUGCAGCAGAGACACUGUUUUCUUCCUUUGUUCUUCCAACCCCAUGGCACAGAAACACUCUCCACUGCGGCCAAGGAUUGCAGGAGAGGUGGCAUCAGUGAUUCAAGACUUCUUUUCCUACCUCUUCAGUGUUUCUUUCAGUGAUCUGAAGUUAAAGCCAGGGGGAAUAUCACAGAAGUGAAGUGCAAUUCUCAUCAUGUCAUAUCAAGAGCACACACUAACAAACAACAUGACUUAUUGCUGAAUAUUGAACUUGAUCACCUGGCUGAGGUAGUGUUUGCCAGAUUUCUCUGUAAAGGUGAAUAAACUGACACUGGAACAUUCAGGAACUUCUUCAUGGUCAUGGUCACCCAGCUAGAGUGUGGAAGCCAGGCUGUCUGAUUCCAGGAUCUGUGUUCUUAAUCCUAUACAUAAGGAAGCCAUAAUGAGUCAACCACUAUUUUUAAGAUUCACAGAUGUUCGGGUCCAAUUCACCAGAAUGCCAAGUUAUACAGGGUUGUGGAAUCAAAAACUGCAAUUAGUAAUAAAAUGUGAUGCUAUCUAGAAUGUUUUUCAUACAUAUAUAUGCUUCUUGGGACUCUCCCUGCAGGUUAAGAGAAAUUGAGAAACGAUGGAGAAUUUAAGUGUUUUAGAUCCUACAUACAUUAGACUUAAAAAUAGUAACUAUGUACAUGAGUAUUUGUAAACUUAAGAAUGAACAUAACAUGAACCAUGUGGCACCUAUAAAAUGAAAAUAAAAUACCUACAAACCAAAUGAGAGCAAUAAAAGAAGCUUUAAGGACUUUCACUUCAGGGAGUCUGAAUUAGAUGCGCUUCUUCCCAUUCCUCCCUCUAAUUACAACAAGCUUGGACGUUACAUACAGAACAAACAGAAGGAGUCUCUGAAAGAUGAAGAGAAGGCAAGUAAGCUACAGACUUCACAAUGUAAGGAAUAAUAUGGUGGUGAGUUACAUUUGUGAUUUUUUUUUGUCUCAUAUCCCAUAAUAUCUCAUAUCUCAUAAUCAGUUAGAAAGCACAAUGGAAAAGUAUUCCACUGCCAAUGGUGUUAGAGAACUGCUCACAAAUUCAACAGAAAUGCACAGAUACCAAAGCAGAAAGGACAAUAAACAAGAGUCUUCAUGGUCAAAAGAUUAGAAGCUGCAGCUUUCAAUGGGAGGGACAGGUUCUGGACCACACUGCAGUGCUUUUCUGCUUUCUGUGCUUUCCCACUCUAGAGCUGAAGAAGGUAACGACCCCAAAAUGUCAAUAUACGUAGACCAAAAACCAGCCCCAAUAAAAGUCUGCUCUCUCUAGCCAAAGGACUACAGUAGGGCAGCCCAGCAAGACAGAAAACCUUCAGACAACCUACCCCAGCCAAACACUACCAAAAAAAGUAAAGUGAGCCAUCACCCAAUCCACAUCAGUAAAAACUAAGUGGAAAGUCCAGACUUUCACCUCAAGAGGUUGCGACAAGCUACUCCAAUACCCCUGCUGGGAUAGUGUCACAGAAGGCUAAAUAAGGAGCUGUAAUGUUGAUUCCCCUCCAGAAGUAAAGAGUCCGUACCUGCUAUUUUCAGAGAGACCACAUGGAAAGCCUAGAUUUCAACACCUACCCAGCAUUAAUGAGGUAUUCCUUCCCUUCUUUACUCUCUGGUGUCAAAGAAGCUCCAUGCAGAGUCAGAAUGUUUGGCAUUACUCCUCAGUAGGGAGGCCACCCCCACCACGGUGUUAGUGGAGACCAUGUGAGGACCAGGACUUGUACCCUGCCCAGAAGUAAUGAGUAGACCCCCCUCUACAGGAAGGCCAAAGGGCAACCUAAACUUCUACCUCUCUCUGGCAGUAAUAAAGUAGGGCCUCACUUUUCCCUGCUGAGCAAUGUCAAAAAAAAAAGCCAGCUGAAGUAAAAGCUUAUUUCUUUCUUUCUUUAUACAUAUUUUUGGAGACAGGGUCUUAUUCUGUCACCCACGCUGGAGUACAGUGGCCUCAUCAGGUCUCACUGCAGCCUCAACCUCCUGGGCUCAAGCAAUCCUCCCACCUCAGCCUCUUGAGUAGCUGAGACCACAGAUGUGCACCACCACACAUAGCUAACAUUAACAUUUUUUCUAGAGAUGGGGUCUUCCUGUGUUGCCCAGGCUGGUCUGGAACUCCUGGGCUCAAGUGAUCCUCCCACCUUGACCUCCUGGAGGGCUGGGAUUACAGGUAUGAGUCAUCACUCCAGGCUGAAGCUUUAUAUAAUAACCAGAGUCUCAUAUUACAAAAUGUCAAAGAUUCAGUCAAAAGUUACUUGAUAUCAAUGGACAAGAUCUCAAACUAAAUGAAAAAAAGACAAUUAAUAGAUGCUAACACUGAGAUAACAAAGUUGUUAGAAUCAUCUAACAAAGAUUUUAAAGCAGCUAUAAUAAAAGUGCUACUGCAAGUGAUUAUAAACAUGCUUGAGACAAAUGAAAAAGUGCUAUAAAGCUAAGAAAUAAAAUAUAUAAAUAAGAAUCAAAGAGAAAUUAUAGAACUAAAAGAUACCAUAACUGAAAUGCAAAGCUCCGUGGAUGGACUCAACAACAGAAUGGAAAAGACUGAGGAAAGAAGUAGUUUACAGGAAAUUAGAAUAGACUAGAAAAAAUGAACAAGACCCUGUGCUAAAGAGCAAAUAUUUAUGUCAUUGGAUUCCAGGAAAGAGAAAAGAAUGAAAAAGUACUUAAAUAAUGGCUUAAAAACUUCUCACAUUUUGCAAAGAUUUAAACCUACAAUUUGAGAAGCUGGGUAAACCUUAAACAGGAUAAAUCAAGGACACUCACACCAAGAAACAUAGUAAUUAAACUUCUGAUUAAGGAAGAAAAAGAAAAAUCUGGAAAGCAGCAAGAAAAAAAUGACACACUUUCUAUAUGGUAAAAGCAAUUUGAACAACAGAAGAUUUCUCAUCAGAAACUGUGGGGACCAUGAGGAAGUAACAGAUAUUUUUCAAGUGCUGAAAUAAAUCAACUGUCAAUACAAAAUGCUCUACUCAGUGAAAAUAUCUUUCAGGAAUAAAGGGGAAAUCAGGACACGCACAGACUUUUUUUAAAUUAAGAAUUUAUUGUCAGCUUAUCUCCCUAAAAGAAUGGCUAACAUUCUCCAAACACGAAGGAAAUUGAUAAGGAAUCUUGAAAUUUCAGUUAGAAACAAUGAAUAUGGCAAGCAAAAUGUAGGUCAGUACACUAAGUUUAAUUUCUCCUCUUGAAUUUUCUAAAUUAUGACUUAUGAUUGAAGCAAAAAUCAUAACAUUAUCUGAUGUAUAUGUAGAGGAAAGAUUUAAGACAGUGAUGUUAUAAAUGAGGGGAGUAAAGGAACAUGAGAUAACCACUAAUAUGACAUACCAAUAGACUAUGAUAAAUUAUGUGUCUAAUGUGAUUACUAGAAAAACCAGUUAAAAUAUAAAGAUUGACGGAGUGAAUUUAAAAACAUGACACACUAUAUGCUGUUUAUCAUAAACUCACUUUGAAGAUAAUGCCAUCGUCAGGUUGAAAUCAAAAGGAAUAAAAUAGUGUAUUAUGUAAACCAUCAAAAAGAGCAGGAAUGGCCAUAUUAAUAACAUUAAAGUCAGCUUCAGAACUAAGGAAAUUAUCAGAGAGGGACAUUAUAUAAUGAAAUAGUCGAUUUACCAAAAGAACAUAGCAAUCAUAAAUGUGCAUGAAGCAAACAACAAAGCUGGAAAAUAUAUGAAGUGAAACUGAUAGAUCUAAAAGGAGAAACAGAUAAAUCCAUUCAUUAUAGUUGGGGCCUUUAUCACCCCUCACUCAACAAUUGAUAGAACUGGACAGAAAACCAGUAAGAAUAUAAAAGAACUCAACAACAUGAGACAAUAGGAUCUAGUUGAUAUUUAUAGAACAUUCCAACAGCAGAAUACAUGUUCUUCAAGUGCUCACAGAACACACAUAUAAAGAUAGACCCUGAGCAUAAAACAAGCCUCAACAAAUUUAAAAGAACUGAAAUACUACAAGUACUUUCUCCAACCACAAAAGAACCAAACUAGAAAUAAAUAACAAUGAUAAUGGGAAAAUCACCAAACACUUGAAAACUGAACAACAAUAUUUUAUAACCCAUGGUCAUAGAGGAAAUCUCAAAAGAAAUUUUAAAAAUGCACUGAACUGAAUGAAAAUGAAAACAACAUAAAAUUUGUGAGACACAUAAAGCAGAACUGAUGGGAAAAUAUAUAGCACUAAAUGCAUGCUCUAGAAAAGAAAAGUCUUCAACCAGUAACCUAAGCUUCCACCUCAAAAACCUAAAAAAAGAAGGAAAAAUAGACCCAAUGCCAGCAGAAAGAUGCAAUAACAAAGAGUAGAACUCAAUGAAAUUGAAAACAGAUAAACACUUUAAAGAAUAAAACAAAGAGCUGGUUAUUAGAAAAGAUCAAUUAAUUGAUAAACCUCAAGCAAGACCGUCAAAAAAAAAAAAAAAAGGACUUACCUAUACCAGAGAUGAAAUGGGAUAUCGCUAUCAAUACUGCAAACAUCAAAAGGAUAAGUAGAUACUAUGAACUGUACACA